This 498-nucleotide ribosomal RNA is filed under the name uncultured bacterium. RNAcentral describes it as "partial 16S ribosomal RNA". It matches the Rfam family "Bacterial small subunit ribosomal RNA", at positions 29 to 523 of the family's 1533-position model. The record is from RNAcentral.
AUUGAACGCUGGCGGCAUGCCUUACACAUGCAAGUCGAACGGUAACGCGGGGCAACCUGGCGGCGAGUGGCGAACGGGUGAGUAAUACAUCGGAACGUGCCCAGUAGUGGGGGAUAGCCCGGCGAAAGCCGGAUUAAUACCGCAUACGACCUACGGGUGAAAGGGGGGGAUCGCAAGACCUCCCGCUAUUGGAGCGGCCGACGUCAGAUUAGGUAGUUGGUGGGGUAAAAGCCUACCAAGCCAACGAUCUGUAGCUGGUCUGAGAGGACGACCAGCCACACUGGGACUGAGACACGGCCCAGACUCCUACGGGAGGCAGCAGUGGGGAAUUUUGGACAAUGGGCGCAAGCCUGAUCCAGCCAUGCCGCGUGCGGGAAGAAGGCCUUCGGGUUGUAAACCGCUUUUGUCAGGGAAGAAAAGCUCUGGGCUAAUACCCCGGGGUGAUGACGGUACCGUAAGAAUAAGCACCGGCUAACUACGUGCCAGCCGCCGCAGUAA